RNAcentral lists this ribosomal RNA (491 nucleotides) under uncultured bacterium. Its description in RNAcentral is "partial 16S ribosomal RNA". It matches the Rfam family "Bacterial small subunit ribosomal RNA", at positions 29 to 506 of the family's 1533-position model. The record is from RNAcentral.
AGUGAACGCUGGCGGUAGGCCUAACACAUGCAAGUCGAACGGCAGCACAGUAAGCGCUCGCUCUUACGGGUGGCGAGUGGCGGACGGGUGAGGAAUACAUCGGAAUCUACUUUUUCGUGGGGGAUAACGUAGGGAAACUUACGCUAAUACCGCAUACGACCUACGGGUGAAAGCAGUGGAUCUUCGGACCUUGCGCGAUUGAAUGAGCCGAUGUCGGAUUAGCUAGUCGGAGGGGUAAAGGACCACCAAGGCGAUGAGCCGCAGCUGGUCUGAGAGGAUGAUCAGCCAAACUGAAACUGAGGAACGUGCCAGACUCCUAGGGGAGGCAGCAGAGGGAAAUUUUGGACAAUGGGCGCAAGCCUGAGCCAGCCAUACCGCGUAGGUGAAGAAGGCCUUCGGGUUGUAAAGCCCUUUUGUUGGGAAAAAAAAGCAGCAGGUUAAUACCCCGCUGUUCUGACGUUACCCAAAGAAUAAGCACCGGCUAACUUCGU